RNAcentral lists this long non-coding RNA (357 nucleotides) under Coffea arabica (coffee). Its description in RNAcentral is "long non-coding RNA (CARA_LNC008346)". The record is from RNAcentral. Lineage: Eukaryota; Viridiplantae; Streptophyta; Magnoliopsida; Gentianales; Rubiaceae.
UAUACCUAGGGAACCCCCCAGAGAGAAUGCUCUCCUACCGCUUUCAAAAAGCAGAAAAAGCUUUCGAAGUCUUUGUUGUCGUCCCGCAGUGUCCUCCUUUCGGUUUUAGCGGGGGUUCCAUCUGUCGGCUAAAGGUCCAUUGCUUUCCUAAAUAGUGUCAGUCAAAAGUAAGUGCUUUGAAUCGAACUCAAGGCUCAAACUCAACCGCGUAAGGGCAUUCAAACUCUUCUUAAGACUGUAAGAGGUAUUGAAGGUUGUCGUUCGAACCGGUUCCCAACCGGUCCUUCACUCUUUCAUGCUCCAGCUGUUAAGUUGAGAGCAAGUACCUAGUCGAACCCAAGCCCGGAUCGAACCUCC